GACGAACGCUGGCGGCGUGCUUAACACAUGCAAGUCGAACGAAAAGAGGGAAAGAGCUUGCUCUUUCCGGAAUUGAGUGGCAAACGGGUGAGUAACACGUAAACAACCUGCCUUCAGGAUGGGGACAACAGACGGAAACGACUGCUAAUACCGAAUAAGUUCCAAGGGCCGCAUGGCCCAUGGAAGAAAAGGUGGCCUCUACCUGUAAGCUAUCGCCUGAAGAGGGGUUUGCGUCUGAUUAGCUGGUUGGAGGGGUAACGGCCCACCAAGGCGACGAUCAGUAGCCGGUCUGAGAGGAUGAACGGCCACACUGGAAUUGAGACACGGUCCAGACUCCUACGGGAGGCAGCAGUGGGGAAUCUUCCGCAAUGGGCGAAAGCCUGACGGAGCAACGCCGCGUGAGUGAUGACGGCCUUCGGGUUGUAAAACUCUGUGAUCCGGGACGAAAAGGCAGAGUGCGAAGAACAAACUGCAUUGACGGUACCGGAAAAGCAAGCCACGGCUAACUACGUG
This 513-nucleotide ribosomal RNA is filed under the name uncultured bacterium. RNAcentral's name for it is "partial 16S ribosomal RNA". It matches the Rfam family "Bacterial small subunit ribosomal RNA", at positions 28 to 507 of the family's 1533-position model. The record is from RNAcentral.